RNAcentral lists this non-coding RNA (29 nucleotides) under Mus musculus (house mouse). The record is from RNAcentral. Lineage: Eukaryota; Metazoa; Chordata; Mammalia; Rodentia; Muridae.
UACAUAAAAAGGCAUCCUUGUUGAAUAUA